RNAcentral lists this ribosomal RNA (440 nucleotides) under uncultured bacterium. Its description in RNAcentral is "partial 16S ribosomal RNA". It matches the Rfam family "Bacterial small subunit ribosomal RNA", at positions 338 to 795 of the family's 1533-position model. The record is from RNAcentral.
CCUACGGGAGACAGCAGUGGGGAAUAUUGCACAAUGGGGGAAACCCUGAUGCAGCGACGCCGCGUGAGUGAAGAAGUAAUUCGUUAUGUAAAGCUCUAUCAGCAGGGAAGAAAAUGACGGUACCUGAGCAAGAAGCCCCGGCUAACUACGUGCCAGCAGCCGCGGUAAUACGUAGGGGGCAAGCGUUAUCCGGAUUUACUGGGUGUAAAGGGAGCGUAGACGGCAGUGCAAGUCUGGAGUGAAAGGCGGGGGCUCAACCCCCGGACUGCUCUGGAAACUGUACGGCUGGAGUGCAGGAGAGGUAAGUGGAAUUCGUGGUGUAGCGGUGAAAUGCGUAGAUAUUAGGAGGAACACCAGUGGCGAAGGCGGCUUACUGGACUGUAACUGACGUUGAGGCUCGAAAGCGUGGGGAGCAAACAGGAUUAGAUACCCCUGUAGUC